UCGUGAGACAGUUCGGUCCCUAUCUGCCGUGGGCGCUGGAGAAUUGAGGGGGGCUGCUCCUAGUACGAGAGGACCGGAGUGGACGCAUCACUGGUGUUCGGGUUGUCAUGCCAAUGGCACUGCCCGGUAGCUAAAUGCGGAAGAGAUAAGUGCUGAAAGCAUCUAAGCACGAAACUUGCCCCGAGAUGAGUUCUCCCUGAGACUUUAAGUCUCCUGAAGGAACGUURAAGACGAYGACGUUGAUAGGUCGGGGUGUGUAAGCGCAGCGAUGCGUUGAGCUAACCGAUACUAAUGAACCGUGAGGCUUAACCUU
RNAcentral lists this ribosomal RNA (313 nucleotides) under Enterobacter hormaechei. Its description in RNAcentral is "partial 23S ribosomal RNA". Lineage: Bacteria; Pseudomonadati; Pseudomonadota; Gammaproteobacteria; Enterobacterales; Enterobacteriaceae. The record is from RNAcentral.